This 253-nucleotide ribosomal RNA is filed under the name uncultured bacterium. Its description in RNAcentral is "partial 16S ribosomal RNA". It matches the Rfam family "Bacterial small subunit ribosomal RNA", at positions 524 to 777 of the family's 1533-position model. The record is from RNAcentral.
GACGUAGGGGCCAGCGUUGUUCGGAAUUACUGGGUGUAAAGGGUUCGUAGGCGGUGUAGCAAGUCGGGAGUGAAAUCUCUGGGCUUAACCCAGAGGCUGCUUCCGAAACUGCUGUGCUUGAGUGUGGGAGAGGCGCGUGGAAUUCCUGGUGUAGCGGUGAAAUGCGCAGAUAUCAGGAGGAACACCAAUGGCGAAGGCAGCUCGCUGGAACGGAACUGACGCUAAGGAGCGAAAGCGUGGGGAGCGAACGAGG